GGUGGGGUGGCCGAGCGGUUCAAGGCGUACGAUUGGAAAUCGUAUGUGCGAAAGCACGCGCAGGUUCGAAUCCUGUCCCCACCGCCG
This 87-nucleotide transfer RNA is filed under the name Candidatus Woesebacteria bacterium GWA1_42_12. RNAcentral's name for it is "tRNA-Ser". It matches the Rfam family "tRNA". Rfam says of the family: Transfer RNA (tRNA) molecules are approximately 80 nucleotides in length. Their secondary structure includes four short double-helical elements and three loops (D, anti-codon, and T loops). Further hydrogen bonds mediate the characteristic L-shaped molecular structure. tRNAs have two regions of fundamental functional importance: the anti-codon, which is responsible for specific mRNA codon recognition, and the 3' end, to which the tRNAs corresponding amino acid is attached (by aminoacyl-tRNA synthetases). tRNAs cope with the degeneracy of the genetic code in two manners: having more than one tRNA (with a specific anti-codon) for a particular amino acid; and 'wobble' base-pairing, i.e. permitting non-standard base-pairing at the 3rd anti-codon position. RNAcentral also lists the same sequence under 1 other name. Lineage: Bacteria; Candidatus Woeseibacteriota. The record is from RNAcentral.